GACGAACGCUGGCGGUAUGCCUAACACAUGCAAGUCGAACGAGAAAGCUUUCUUCGGAGAGUGAUUAGAGUGGCGAACGGGUGAGUAACGCGUAGGUACGUGCCUCUUAGUUUGGGAUAAGCAUUGGAAACGAUGUCUAAUACCGGAUGUGAUCUUCGGAUUAAAGGCUUCGGCCGCUAAGAGAUCGGCCUGCGUUAGAUUAGCUAGUUGGUGAGGUAACUGCUCACCAAGGCGACGAUCCCUAGCUGGUCUUAGAGGAUGACCAGCCACACUGGAACUGAGACACGGUCCAG
Molecule: ribosomal RNA, 293 nt
Filed under: uncultured bacterium
Lineage: Bacteria
Description: partial 16S ribosomal RNA
Rfam family: Bacterial small subunit ribosomal RNA
Source: RNAcentral